GACGAACGCUGGCGGCGUGCCUAACACAUGCAAGUCGAACGGAGUGUUACGCUGAAUUGAUGGUAGCUUGCUACUGGAUUUUCUUGUAACACUUAGUGGCGGACGGGUGAGUAACGCGUGAGCAACCUGCCUUACAGAGGGGGACAACAGUUGGAAACGACUGCUAAUACCGCAUAACGUAGCUUUGGGACAUCCCUUAGUUACCAAAGGAGCAAUCCGCUGUAAGAUGGGCUCGCGUCCGAUUAGAUAGUUGGUGGGGUAAAAGGCCUACCAAGUCGACGAUCGGUAGCCGGACUGAGAGGUUGAACGGCCACAUUGGGACUGAGACACGGCCCAGACUCCUACGGAGGCAGCAGUGGGGGAUAUUGCACAAUGGAGGAAACUCUGAUGCAGCAACGCCGCGUGAGGGAGAAGGUUUUUCGGAGUUGUAAACC
This 434-nucleotide ribosomal RNA is filed under the name uncultured bacterium. RNAcentral describes it as "bacterial SSU rRNA". It matches the Rfam family "Bacterial small subunit ribosomal RNA", at positions 28 to 431 of the family's 1533-position model. The record is from RNAcentral.